This 112-nucleotide non-coding RNA is filed under the name chicken gut metagenome. RNAcentral describes it as "yjdF RNA". It matches the Rfam family "azaaromatic riboswitch aptamer (yjdF RNA)", at positions 6 to 91 of the family's 101-position model. The record is from RNAcentral.
CAAGGAUAAAAACGCAACGUGAGAAGUGAAUUUUCACAGAGCCGGUAGGUAGCCCGGCCGCACCGUUGGUGUAAGUAACCCUCCCUCCUUAGGGUCGUCCAUUCUUUGCGUA